UGGAUUGAUGAUGACCACCGGUGGCAUGUGAGUUAUAGAUGAUGAAUAGAUGUCUGGAACUCUGAGUUCCAU
This 72-nucleotide small nucleolar RNA is filed under the name Castor canadensis (American beaver). Its description in RNAcentral is "Small nucleolar RNA SNORD113/SNORD114 family (ENSCCNG00000001405.1)". It matches the Rfam family "Small nucleolar RNA SNORD113/SNORD114 family". From Rfam's summary of the family: The imprinted human domain at 14q32 contains two clusters of tandemly repeated small nucleolar RNAs named 14q(I) and 14q(II) snoRNAs. These two clusters are named SNORD113 and SNORD114 respectively in the HGNC approved gene symbol nomenclature. The snoRNAs found in both clusters are clearly related and are represented here by a single family. Lineage: Eukaryota; Metazoa; Chordata; Mammalia; Rodentia; Castoridae. The record is from Rfam by way of RNAcentral.